RNAcentral lists this ribosomal RNA (420 nucleotides) under uncultured bacterium. RNAcentral's name for it is "bacterial SSU rRNA". It matches the Rfam family "Bacterial small subunit ribosomal RNA", at positions 358 to 774 of the family's 1533-position model. The record is from RNAcentral.
GGAAUAUUGGUCAAUGGGCGGAAGCCUGAACCAGCCAUGCCGCGUGCAGGACGACGGCCCUAUGGGUUGUAAACUGCUUUUGCUGCGGAGCAAUAAGGGCCUCGUGCAGGUCCGAUGAGAGUACGCAGCGAAUAAGCAUCGGCUAACUCCGUGCCAGCAGCCGCGGUAAUACGGAGGAUGCGAGCGUUAUCCGGAUUUAUUGGGUUUAAAGGGUGCGUAGGCUGUGCGUUAAGUCAGGGGUGAAAUGCCGUCGCUCAACGACGGAGCUGCCCUUGAUACUGGCGUGCUGGAGUACGGAUGCCGUUGGAGGAAUGAGUGGUGUAGCGGUGAAAUGCUUAGAUAUCACUCAGAACACCGAUUGCGAAGGCAUCUGACGAAUCCGUCACUGACGCUGAGGCACGAAAGCGUGGGGAUAGAACA